RNAcentral lists this ribosomal RNA (430 nucleotides) under uncultured bacterium. RNAcentral's name for it is "bacterial SSU rRNA". It matches the Rfam family "Bacterial small subunit ribosomal RNA", at positions 41 to 514 of the family's 1533-position model. The record is from RNAcentral.
GGCAUGCCUUAACACAUGCAAGUCGAACGAACCCUUCGGGGUUAGUGGCGCACUAGGUGCGUAACGCGUGGGAAUCUGCCCUUUGCUUCGGAAUAACAGUUAGAAAUGACUGCUAAUACCGGAUGAUGACUUCGGUCCAAAGAUUUAUCGGCAAAGGAUGAGCCCGCGUAGGAUUAGGUAGUUGGUGGGGUAAAGGCCUACCAAGCCGACGAUCCUUAGCUGGUCUGAGAGGAUGAUCAGCCACACUGGGCACUGAGACACGGCCCAGACUCCUACGGGAGGCAGCAGUGGGGAAUAUUGGACAAUGGGCGCAAGCCUGAUCCAGCAAUGCCGCGUGAGUGAUGAAGGCCUUCGGGUUGUAAAGCUCUUUUACCAGGGAUGAUAAUGACAGUACCUGGAGAAUAAGCUCCGGCUAACUCCGUGCCAGCAG